Molecule: RNase P RNA, 376 nt
Filed under: Puniceicoccales bacterium
Lineage: Bacteria; Pseudomonadati; Verrucomicrobiota; Opitutia; Puniceicoccales
Description: RNase P RNA component class A
Rfam family: Bacterial RNase P class A
About the family: Ribonuclease P (RNase P) is a ubiquitous endoribonuclease, found in archaea, bacteria and eukarya as well as chloroplasts and mitochondria.
Source: RNAcentral
GGUAAAUACAGGCAUGUGCCCGUUCGUCUGCAAUAUGGCGAAAGGAAAGUCCGGACACCUAUGGCAGGAUUCCAUGUGAAAGCAUGGGCACGGCAGAAAAUUGCCGUGACGGAAAGUGCAACAGAAAAUAUACCGCCCCAGGGUAAGGGUGAAAUGGUGGGGUAAGAGCCCACCGGCGAAAUGGCAACAGUUCGCGCUGGAAAACCCAAUCCGGUGCAAGACGGAAUAGAAGGCUGAGCCGCCAGCUCCAUAGCCUCGGGUUCGUCGCACCUUGAAUAAGGAACUUCCAAAUCGGAAGUUAGAUAAAUGGGCACACCGCUCCCGGCCAAAAAUCGGGAGUGAUGCACAGAAUCCGGCUUACUUGUUUUUACUUUCA